This 254-nucleotide ribosomal RNA is filed under the name uncultured bacterium. Its description in RNAcentral is "partial 16S ribosomal RNA". It matches the Rfam family "Bacterial small subunit ribosomal RNA", at positions 524 to 776 of the family's 1533-position model. The record is from RNAcentral.
GACGUAGGGCGCGAGCGUUGUCCGGAUUUAUUGGGCGUAAAGAGCUCGUAGGCGGCUUGUCGCGUCGUCCGUGAAAACCAGGGGCUCAACCCCUGGCUUGCGGUCGAUACGGGCAGGCUAGAGUUCGGUAGGGGAGACUGGAAUUCCCGGUGUAGUGGUGAAAUGCGUAGAUAUCGGGAGGAACACCGGUGGCGAAGGCGACUACCUGGCCUGUUUCUUGACGCUGAGGCGCGAAAGCUAGGGGAGCAAACGGG